Molecule: transfer RNA, 71 nt
Filed under: Bos taurus (domestic cattle)
Lineage: Eukaryota; Metazoa; Chordata; Mammalia; Artiodactyla; Bovidae
Also listed under: 2 other names
Rfam family: tRNA
About the family: Transfer RNA (tRNA) molecules are approximately 80 nucleotides in length.
Source: Rfam by way of RNAcentral
UCCUUGGUGGCUCAGUGGUAAAGAAUCUGCCUGCAAUGCAGGAGAUCCAGGUUCAAUCCUUGGGUUGGGAA